Molecule: ribosomal RNA, 954 nt
Filed under: Neoleptosphaeria jonesii
Lineage: Eukaryota; Fungi; Ascomycota; Dothideomycetes; Pleosporales; Leptosphaeriaceae
Description: SSU rRNA
Rfam family: Eukaryotic small subunit ribosomal RNA
Source: RNAcentral
GGAUAACCGUGGUAAUUCUAGAGCUAAUACAUGCUUAAAACCCCAACUUCGGGAGGGGUGUAUUUAUUAGAUAAAAAACCAACGCCCUUUCGGGGCUUCUUGGUGAUUCAUGAUAACUUUACGGAUCGCAUGGCCUUGCGCCGGCGACGGUUCAUUCAAAUUUCUGCCCUAUCAACUUUCGAUGGUAAGGUAUUGGCUUACCAUGGUUUCAACGGGUAACGGGGAAUUAGGGUUCGAUUCCGGAGAGGGAGCCUGAGAAACGGCUACCACAUCCAAGGAAGGCAGCAGGCGCGCAAAUUACCCAAUCCCGACACGGGGAGGUAGUGACAAUAAAUACUGAUACAGGGCUCUUUUGGGUCUUGUAAUUGGAAUGAGUACAAUUUAAACCUCUUAACGAGGAACAAUUGGAGGGCAAGUCUGGUGCCAGCAGCCGCGGUAAUUCCAGCUCCAAUAGCGUAUAUUAAAGUUGUUGCAGUUAAAAAGCUCGUAGUUGAAACUUGGGUCUGGCUGGCAGGUCCGCCUCACCGCGUGUACUUGUCCGGCCGGGCCUUCCUUCUGGAGAACCUCAUGCCCUUCACUGGGCGUGUUGGGGACCAGGACUUUUACUUUGAAAAAAUUAGAGUGUUCAAAGCAGGCCUUUGCUCGAAUACGUUAGCAUGGAAUAAUAGAAUAGGACGUGCGGUCCUAUUUUGUUGGUUUCUAGGACCGCCGUAAUGAUUAAUAGGGACAGUCGGGGGCAUCAGUAUUCAAUUGUCAGAGGUGAAAUUCUUGGAUUUAUUGAAGACUAACUACUGCGAAAGCAUUUGCCAAGGAUGUUUUCAUUAAUCAGUGAACGAAAGUUAGGGGAUCGAAGACGAUCAGAUACCGUCGUAGUCUUAACCGUAAACUAUGCCGACUAGGGAUCGGGCGAUGUUCUUUUUCUGACUCGCUCGGCACCUUACGAGAAAUCAAAGU